This 73-nucleotide transfer RNA is filed under the name Xenopus tropicalis (tropical clawed frog). Its description in RNAcentral is "tRNA-Tyr (GTA) (tRNA-Tyr-GTA-31-1)". It matches the Rfam family "tRNA". Rfam says of the family: Transfer RNA (tRNA) molecules are approximately 80 nucleotides in length. Their secondary structure includes four short double-helical elements and three loops (D, anti-codon, and T loops). The record is from RNAcentral. Lineage: Eukaryota; Metazoa; Chordata; Amphibia; Anura; Pipidae.
CCUUCGAUAGCUCAGCUGGUAGAGCGGAGGACUGUAGGUACUUAGGUUGCUGGUUCGAUUCCAGCUCGAAGGA